RNAcentral lists this ribosomal RNA (429 nucleotides) under bacterium. RNAcentral describes it as "partial 16S ribosomal RNA". It matches the Rfam family "Bacterial small subunit ribosomal RNA", at positions 355 to 776 of the family's 1533-position model. The record is from RNAcentral.
UAGGGAAUCUUCCACAAUGGACGCAAGUCUGAUGGAGCAACGCCGCGUGAGUGAAGAAGGUUUUCGGAUCGUAAAGCUCUGUUGUUGGUGAAGAAGGAUAGAGGCAGUAACUGGUCUUUAUUUGACGGUACUCAACCAGAAAGUCACGGCUAACUACGUGCCAGCAGCCGCGGUAAUACGUAGGUGGCAAGCGUUGUCCGGAUUUAUUGGGCGUAAAGCGAGCGCAGGCGGAAUGAUAAGUCUGAUGUGAAAGCCCACGGCUCAACAGUAGAACUGCAGCGGAAACUGUUAUUCUUGAGUGCAGAAGAGGAGAGUGGAAGUCCAUGGGUAGCGGGGGAAUGCGUAGAUAUAUGGAAGAACACCAGUGGCGAAGGCGGCUCUCUGGGCUGCAACUGACGCUGAUGCUCGAAAGCAUGGGUAGCGAACAGG